Molecule: ribosomal RNA, 421 nt
Filed under: uncultured bacterium
Lineage: Bacteria
Description: bacterial SSU rRNA
Rfam family: Bacterial small subunit ribosomal RNA
Source: RNAcentral
UGGGGAAUUUUGGACAAUGGACGCAAGUCUGAUCCAGCCAUGCCGCGUGCGGGAAGAAGGCCUUCGGUUUGUAAACUUCUUUUAUCUGGGACGAAAAAAGAUCAUUCCUGAUCACUUGACGGUACCAGAGGAAUAAGCACCGGCUAACUCCGUGCCAGCAGCCGCGGUAAUACGGAGGGUGCAAGCGUUAUCCGGAUUUACUGGGUUUAAAGGGUGCGUAGGUGGGUCUGUAAGUCAGGGGUGAAAUCCCAGAGCUCAACUCUGGAACUGCCUUUGAUACUGGGUAUCUCGAGUAUGGAAGAGGUGAGUGGAAUUCCGAGUGUAGAGGUGAAAUUCGUAGAUAUUCGGAGGAACACCGAUGGCGAAGGCAAUCCCCUGGGCCUGUACUGACGCUCAUGCACGAAAGCGUGGGGAGCAAACA